Molecule: long non-coding RNA, 1041 nt
Organism: Nematostella vectensis (starlet sea anemone)
Lineage: Eukaryota; Metazoa; Cnidaria; Anthozoa; Actiniaria; Edwardsiidae
Exons: 2
Source: RefSeq, a predicted model, not a curated record
CAUUCAAGCCCCUCGCCUUUUACCGCCGCGAAGAUAUAUUUUUCGCUUUAAAAGGUUUUUCCCGUCAAUUUUUGCAAUUUCAGAGCAGCCAUUGUGUUAGGUCAUCUUUCCAAGAUAUCUCGUGCAAAGCUUCGAAGCGAUGAGUAAAAAUAUGGAAGAUGAUAUUGAACAUGGCAAAGAAGAUGAAGAUAAGUAAAUAUAUAUGGAUGGACAGAGAGAUCAUUGAAUUUUCUUCUUUGUAUUCCACUCUUAGUGAUAAAAAAACGUAUACUAUUUUUUUUUUUUAAUAUUUGUUUUAUUUGUUUAAGCUAUGUGUUAUUGACUAUUACACUUUUAGAAAGUAUGGUUACAAACUGACCCCCCCAGUUCUGUAGCACUGUCAAGAAAAUAGGGGGGACCUCCUUCGUAUUUACAAAGACAAUGCUUAAAGAACGCUGCUUGGUGGGAAAAUGGUAUGAGAUUAUAUGGCUUUCAACGUUAAUGGAGAUUUGCACCCCAGCCUCUGCUACGGCCCUGCCCCUGGACCCCUUGUUGAAAAUAGGUUUUCUAGUAAUAACAUGUUUUCUAUUGAGGGAAGGGUUUUCUCUUUCUAGUAUGAUCCCAGUAUAAACCAAGAGCAUGGAUGAAGGUUGGUUAAAAAGUUUCUAUGUAUUAAAUCCCCAGAGCUAACACAGUAUUAUACUAAAACAUAAUAUAAGACACAGCAUAUUGUGCAUUCAAAAGGUGCAAUGGGCUUUUGAAAUGAGAGAUGGGAUCUAUGAUUAUUUCACAUCACUAUUAUGUAUGGUGCUUGAUUGUGAAAACUAUAUUAUUGGACAAAUUGUUUCCACUUUCUUCCCAUUUACUCUGAAUGAAAAUUUUCUACCAGAAAGAAUUUAAAUCAUUAGAAUUCUGUUGGAGUAAAAUUGUUUAGGAGAAGAAUGAUAAGCUCAUGAAAAUGAUUUGUUUUCAAGACAUAUUGCAUCAUACAUAUGCUGUAAAAACAUUUACAACAUAACAUGUGUCCACUGCAUUUCUUUGGGAUUGAACAUUUUACCAACA